Molecule: ribosomal RNA, 442 nt
Filed under: uncultured Florenciella
Lineage: Eukaryota; Dictyochophyceae; Florenciellales
Description: partial Bacterial large subunit ribosomal RNA
Rfam family: Bacterial large subunit ribosomal RNA
Source: RNAcentral
AGCCAUCCUUUAAAGAAAGCGUAACAGCUCACUGGUCAAGCGCUCCUGCGCGGAAAAUGUAACGGGGCUUAAGUGAUACACCGAAGCUGCGGAUUCGAUCUUUGAUCGAGUGGUAGCGGAGCGUUCCGUAGGCCGAUGAAGGUGGACCCGCGAGGGCCGCUGGAGGUAUCGGAAGUGAGAAUGCUGACAUGAGUAGCGAUAAAGAGUGUGAGAGACACUCUCGCCGAAAGUCCAAGGGUUCCUGCGCAAUGCUAAUCAGCGCAGGGUUAGUCGGCCCCUAAGGCGAGGCAGAAAUGCGUAGUCGAUGGGAAGCAGGUUAAUAUUCCUGCACCAGUGGGUAGUGACGGAUCUCGUGUGUCGUCAGUCCUUAUCGGAUUGAACUGGCGGCGAAGAGGUCCCUGGAAAUAGCUCCCACGUGAGACCGUACCCCAAACCGACACAG